RNAcentral lists this signal recognition particle RNA (117 nucleotides) under Nomascus leucogenys (northern white-cheeked gibbon). Its description in RNAcentral is "Metazoan signal recognition particle RNA". It matches the Rfam family "Metazoan signal recognition particle RNA". From Rfam's summary of the family: The signal recognition particle (SRP) is a universally conserved ribonucleoprotein. It is involved in the co-translational targeting of proteins to membranes. Lineage: Eukaryota; Metazoa; Chordata; Mammalia; Primates; Hylobatidae. The record is from Rfam by way of RNAcentral.
GCUGGGCAUGAUGGCUCAGGCCUGUAAUCCAAGCCCUUUGGGAAGCUGAGAUGGGAGAAUCACUUGAGCCCAGGAGUUCAAGAUCAGCCUGGGCAAUAUAGUGAGACCCCAUCUCUA